UACGGAGGGUGCGAGCGUUGUUCGGAUUCAUUGGGCGUAAAGGGUGCGUAGGUGGCGCGUUAAGUCAGGUGUGAAAUUUCGGAGCUUAACUCCGAAACUGCAUUUGAUACUGGCGUGCUUGAGGACUGGAGAGGAGACUGGAAUUUACGGUGUAGCGGUGAAAUGCGUAGAUAUCGUAAGGAAGACCAGUGGCGAAGGCGGGUCUCUGGACAGUUCCUGACGCUGAGGCACGAAGGCCAGGGGAGCAAACGGG
RNAcentral lists this ribosomal RNA (253 nucleotides) under uncultured bacterium. Its description in RNAcentral is "partial 16S ribosomal RNA". It matches the Rfam family "Bacterial small subunit ribosomal RNA", at positions 524 to 776 of the family's 1533-position model. The record is from RNAcentral.